Molecule: ribosomal RNA, 253 nt
Filed under: uncultured bacterium
Lineage: Bacteria
Description: partial 16S ribosomal RNA
Rfam family: Bacterial small subunit ribosomal RNA
Source: RNAcentral
UACGUAGGGUGCAAGCGUUACUCGGAAUUACUGGGCGUAAAGCGUGCGCAGGCGGUUUUGUAAGUCUGUCGUGAAAUCCCCGGGCUCAACCUGGGAAUUGCGAUGGAGACUGCAAGGCUAGAAUCUGGCAGAGGGGGGUAGAAUUCCACGUGUAGCAGUGAAAUGCGUAGAGAUGUGGAGGAACACCGAUGGCGAAGGCAGCCCCCUGGGUCAAGACUGACGCUCAUGCACGAAAGCGUGGGGAGCAAACAGG